ACGGCCUAAGCAGGCGAAAGUACAGUGUCUGUCCUUAUCAGCUUAAUAUCUGAUACGGGUUGUAUAUGAACCCAAGAUGCUAAACUUAUUUUUUUUUUUUUGCAAGUUGGCGGAGUGCUUUAAACCUGCUUCACCUCCUCCGUAGGCCGGACCCGUAUCGCACCCUCUUCGGAAUCGGCCCAUGUUUU
Dermacentor andersoni is the source of this 188-nucleotide small nuclear RNA. RefSeq annotates it as U2 spliceosomal RNA. NCBI's taxonomy places the organism in Eukaryota, Metazoa, Arthropoda, Arachnida, Ixodida, Ixodidae. The record is from RefSeq and is a predicted model, not a curated record.